Molecule: ribosomal RNA, 460 nt
Filed under: uncultured bacterium
Lineage: Bacteria
Description: partial 16S ribosomal RNA
Rfam family: Bacterial small subunit ribosomal RNA
Source: RNAcentral
CCUACGGGAGGCAGCAGUGAGGAAUAUUGGUCAAUGGGCUUACGCUUGAUCCAGCCAAGUCGCGUGAGGGAAGACUGCCCUCUGGGUUGUAAACCUCUUUUGUCAGGGAGCAACGCCGGCUACGUGUAGCCGGACUGAGAGUAACUGAAGAAACAGCAUCGGCUAACUCCGUGCCAGCAGCCGCGGUAAUACGGAGGAUGCGAGCGUUAUCCGGAUGUAUUGGGUUGAAAGGGUGCGUAGGUGGCAUGCCAAGUCAGCAGUAAAAUCGCGGGGCUCAACCUCGCUCCGCCGUUGAAACUGGCGAUCUUGAGUGGGCGAGAAGGAAGCGGAAUGCGUGGUGUAGCGGUGAAAUGCAUAGAUAGCACGCAGAACUCCGAUUGCGAAGGCAGCAUACUGGGGCCCAACUGACGCUGAGGCACGAAAGCGUGGGUAUCGAACAGGAUUAGAUACCCUAGUAGUC